GGAAGUAAAAGUCGUAACAAGGUCUCCGUUGGUGAACCAGCGGAGGGAUCAUUACUGAGUUUACGCUCUACAACCCUUUGUGAACAUACCUACAACUGUUGCUUCGGCGGGUAGGGUCUCCGCGACCCUCCCGGCCUCCCGCCUCCGGGCGGGUCGGCGCCCGCCGGAGGAUAACCAAACUCUGAUUUAACGACGUUUCUUCUGAGUGGUACAAGCAAAUAAUCAAAACUUUUAACAACGGAUCUCUUGGUUCUGGCAUCGAUGAAGAACGCAGCGAAAUGCGAUAAGUAAUGUGAAUUGCAGAAUUCAGUGAAUCAUCGAAUCUUUGAACGCACAUUGCGCCCGCCAGCAUUCUGGCGGGCAUGCCUGUUCGAGCGUCAUUUCAACCCUCAAGCUCUGCUUGGUGUUGGGGCCCUACAGCUGAUGUAGGCCCUCAAAGGUAGUGGCGGACCCUCUCGGAGCCUCCUUUGCGUAGUAACUUUACGUCUCGCACUGGGAUCCGGAGGGACUCUUGCCGUAAAACCCCCAAUUUUCCAAAGGUUGACCUCGGAUCAGGUAGGAAUACCCGCUGAACUUAAGCAUAUCAAUAAGCGGAGG
Molecule: ribosomal RNA, 597 nt
Filed under: Colletotrichum gloeosporioides
Lineage: Eukaryota; Fungi; Ascomycota; Sordariomycetes; Glomerellales; Glomerellaceae
Description: eukaryotic LSU rRNA
Rfam family: 5.8S ribosomal RNA (bases 227-380)
Source: RNAcentral